This is a long non-coding RNA of Carassius gibelio (silver crucian carp), 684 nucleotides long. RefSeq lists it as uncharacterized. Lineage: Eukaryota; Metazoa; Chordata; Actinopteri; Cypriniformes; Cyprinidae. The transcript is spliced from 12 exons. The record is from RefSeq and is a predicted model, not a curated record.
AAUAAAAGGCGCCGAGACCUUCCUGUCCUCCAUUUUGGUGCAGCUUCUCCACUGACAUGGCGACUCCGACGAGCAUGGGCUCAUGGGAAGCUUUUGUGCAGGCUUCUGGGAUGAGUAGUCCGAAAUCCGUUAAAUUCAAGGCUCCCUCACAUGAACACGGAGGGCAUGGUGACCAUAGAUAUUGUAUUGAUCAUCCCGCUCUGUCUUGGUGACCAUGGUGCAGCUAGGUAGUGAUGGAACAAGGACCUGCAACUCUCUUAGGACUGUUAUUUGUCCAAAACUAAGAGGAUCAUGUCCUUUGGUGGUACUAGGUUGCUUACCUGAAGUACUCAGCAGGUGGCACAUCUGAUAUGAAAGCUUCACAGGACUACAGUGGAUUCUUGAAGUUCUUCCCCCUUGAGUGUACUGCAGCUGGACUACAAUGUCUUCCCUUGAGUGUACUGCAGCUGUUGUUGCUACUGUCCCUCCAGGUUGCCCCAUUGUCACUUGGUUUGCUGGUGAUCUUGAAGGUCAUGUAAGCUGCAUCCGAGAAGUUGAACUGACACCGAUGGAUGUCCUUGUACUGUGCAUCUGCUGAACCGAAGCAGAUUGAAUGAAUGGUGUUAUCGAUGGACACCUAUAAAUUCAAUGUUUUUCCUUUUGUAUUCCCUUCCAAAGAUGCUUGUUAAAUAAAUGGCUUUAUGG